This is a non-coding RNA of Acanthosepion pharaonis, 110 nucleotides long. The record is from the annotation of a GenBank genome assembly. Lineage: Eukaryota; Metazoa; Mollusca; Cephalopoda; Sepiida; Sepiidae.
CAGCCAUGUUGCGUUAAAACACCAGUUCCUGUACAAUCACUGAAGUUAAGCAAUGUCAAGCCUGGACAGUACUUAGAUGGGUGAAUGUUUGAGAAUAUUAGGUGCUGUAA